Molecule: long non-coding RNA, 1547 nt
Filed under: Salmo salar (Atlantic salmon)
Lineage: Eukaryota; Metazoa; Chordata; Actinopteri; Salmoniformes; Salmonidae
Description: lncRNA (ENSSSAG00000088689.1)
Source: RNAcentral
GUUCGAGAGCCAGUCACUGCAGUCUUUUUAAAAAAAAGUCAAGCCUCUCCGCAAUAGCAGUGAUUUCAACGAGAAGACGUCAACGUAGAAUACUAAUGACUUGAAAAGAACCGAGGCCAGCAGAGGCGGAAGUAUUAUGACCUGAUGAGUGGCUUCUACACGGCCCAGACUGUGCCCGCAGGAAUGCCCUGACCGAGUGGUUUCAACCCCCAGCUCUCACAACCUGACAAGUUUCUGUGCAGUCUUCAGAUAUCUGGCAAAGGCUUUCCUCUGAGAUAUAGCUGGCUUGGCUGCCAGGAUACUGGCACAUCCCCGGGAGCAUCACCCCCUGCUCUGUGGACAUGAGCUUCAUUGAGCAGCCUCUAGACAUGCCCCCUCCUUACACCUCAGCUUCCUCCCUAGUAGGAGGAACCGCCUACACCCAUCGCUCCGGGACUCUAUUCUCACAACACUCGGGGCUACGCUGUUGCAAGUAUCAGUAGAACACGCCUGACUCUCCUCCACCAGUCAUACAAGGAGAAUGGUCUAAUGCCUCCCAUAAAAUAGAGAGCUGACCCAAGCAAGCAGUGGUUACACCUGAAGCCUAAGGAGUGGUGAACUUCAACAACUAUGCAGAGGAUAAUGCAAUGGUAUUACCAGGACGCCACCCAGGACACAAACACUUUGGUGGAAAGCUGCUGCCAUCCCAUGUGACAAAAGCAGCAGUAUGGCGUCUCCACAAGGAAUCGAUGACAACACUUGGACAGCACUGUGACAGGAGUCAACAUCCCACAUCUGGUUGGACAAGAAGGAUGGUACGGUGCUGGUGGAAAGCUAUUUCUGGCAACAACACCGGACUCCAUACUUCAGGCCGCUGCCACAGAUCAAGCAGUACCAGCACUUCAGCUUCGAUGCUCUGGAGCCUGGUGUUGUUGCCAGAGAGUGUUUGGACUCAGUCAGGACCAGGUUUCAGCUGCUGCGCAACGCUGACAUCCUUCCUCCCAUAGAUGGUCAGCCUGUACAAGCACCACCUGGACUGGACACAGUUAACUAGACAAACUUGUAUUUUUGAGAAGAUCAGGGAGUUUUGCGACAAAGAGGCUAUGGACAUCACAUGCCCUGCACCAAAGUCAAGGGUAGGACAGAAACAUACUCUCCGAAUAUAGAUUCCCUUGUUCAUGCAUGGUUCGGACGGACCAGUCAUCAGCACUAUCUGCAGCGCCUCUAUUCACAUGACUCUCUCCUAACACACACAUGCCAUAUGUUGCUGCUACAAUGUUUUUUUUUAUCCCGCUGCUCAGCCACUUUACCCCUGAUUGUAUGCAUAUUAAUACCUCACCUAUCACUGAUAUCAUUAUUGAUAUUAACCUUGAACAUACUGUAUAUUAUUUUAUUUAUAUUGACAUUACCUAUUUAUAAUAUUUCUACUAUGCAAGUAACUAUUUGGCUGUAACAUUUACACCUUCUGUUGAGUCCCAUCCACUUAGCAAGAUGUGGCUGGGGUUAUAGCAUUUCUUUCAAAUUACCCAUCAAUUUAAACAAGUGUCUGGGUAAGCGUCAUCUCAUAU